Oncorhynchus tshawytscha (Chinook salmon) is the source of this 623-nucleotide long non-coding RNA. NCBI's taxonomy places the organism in Eukaryota, Metazoa, Chordata, Actinopteri, Salmoniformes, Salmonidae. The record is from Ensembl.
UGGGCCAAAAUACCAGCAACAGUGUGUGAAAACCUUGUGAAGACUUACAGAAAACGUUUGACCUCUGUCAUUGCCAACAAAGGGUAUAUAACAAAGUAUUGAGAUAAACUUUUGUUAUUGACCAAAUUCUUAUUUUCCACCAUAAUUUGCAAAUAAAUUCAUUAAAAAUCCUACAAUGUGAUUUUCUGGAUUUUUUUUCUCAUUUUGUCUGUCAUAGUUUAAGUGUAUCUAUGAUGACAAUUACAGGCCUCUCUCAUCUUUUUAAGUGGGAGAACUUGCACAAUUGGUGGCUGACUAAAUACUUUUUUUACCCCACUGUAUGCUUUUAUUAAUGUCCCAAAUGACAGGCUAUUCCCUACGUAGUGCACCCUAUUCCCUAGUUUAAACCAAGGCCCGACCCCAUAGUGUGGUGACUCCCUGUGGAUCCCAAGGUGGUUUUCCUGUUUUAGUUACACUAGACAUUUACAUUGAUUCUCUCUCUAUUUGAUGGUAGGAUUCUCUCUAUUUGACGGUAGGAUUCUCUCUCUCUAUUUGACGGUAGGAUUCUCUCUAUUUGACGGUAGGAUUCUCUCUCUCUAUUUGACGGAUUCUCUCUCUAUUUGACGGUAGGAUUCUCUCUAUUU